GUACUUAUAGUGUAAUCCCAACACGUUACCUUUUCGCGGUAAAAAUAUAGUUAUAUUAAGUACU
RNAcentral lists this transfer RNA (64 nucleotides) under Eurythoe complanata. Its description in RNAcentral is "tRNA-Glu". Lineage: Eukaryota; Metazoa; Annelida; Polychaeta; Eunicida; Amphinomidae. The record is from RNAcentral.